Molecule: ribosomal RNA, 429 nt
Filed under: uncultured bacterium
Lineage: Bacteria
Description: bacterial SSU rRNA
Rfam family: Bacterial small subunit ribosomal RNA
Source: RNAcentral
CUCAACCGGGGAAUCGCAGGGCGAACUGCGCGUCUUGAGGCAGGCAGAGGCCGUCGGAACGCUCGGUGGAGCGGUGAAAUGCAUAGAUAUCGAGCGGAACGCCGAUGGAGAAGUCAGGCAGCUGGGCCUGUCCUGACGCUGAGGCACGAAAGCGUGGGGAGCGAACGGGAUUAGAUACCCCGGUAGUCCACGCCCUAAACAUUGCGCACUAGGUCGGGGGCGUUUUGACGCGCUCUCGGCCGAAGAGAAAUCGUUAAGUGCGCCGCCUGGGGAGUACGGUCGCAAGGCUAAAACUCAAAGGAAUUGACGGGGGCUCACACAAGCGGUGGAGCAUGUUGCUUAAUUCGAAGCAACGCGAAGAACCUUAUCCUGGGCUUGACAUGCGCGGAUUAGUUCGUGGAAACACGGAUGACGCCUUCGGGUGGAACG